AGAUGAGGAGCCCCAUUCUAGAGGCCAGCAGUGCCACGGUCAAGGACAAGAGCCUAGUGGUCAGCCUUCAGGUCUAGGCUCUACCACCUCCAAAGAGGUAUAGCUGUGAAUUCGCAAGUGGGCAGGUGGCAAUCACAGUUAAAGGAGGAAAUAACAGCUGAGCAGGUAGAAACCCUGGGCCUGUCCCUCCUGGAGCACUUUCUUCCCAGAAAUAGCAGCAUAAUUGGGAGCAGCAGCUUUCCGCACUUCGCUAGGUACUGUCAGGGAUACAAAAGAAAAAUCAAGGUCUAGGUGACCAUCAUGAUUUCAUGGGGAAACAAAAGGGAUACCGAAGGAAUAGCUGAAUCGGAGUUGAAAAAGACGAGUGGAUUGAUCUGAGUGGAAGUGCCUAUUGAGGAAUGACGACAGGUCAUGGCCACCACCAUGUGAGGAAGCUGAUCCAGGCUCCCUGAGGAUGAAGAUCUUGUGGAGACAUGUCCAGAUAAUCCCACCUGUCCCAGCUGAGCUUGGUCAACACAUGAGUUAAAUGCAGAUACACGAAUAUGAAUCCAGAUGGAACCAGCAAGUUGCUCAGUCAACUCACAGAAUAAAGAAUAGUAAAUCA
This is a long non-coding RNA of Galeopterus variegatus (Sunda flying lemur), 604 nucleotides long. RefSeq lists it as uncharacterized. The transcript has 4 exons. NCBI's taxonomy places the organism in Eukaryota, Metazoa, Chordata, Mammalia, Dermoptera, Cynocephalidae. The record is from RefSeq and is a predicted model, not a curated record.